UGAAUAAAUGAUGACCACUCAUGAUGUGUGAUCCGGGAAUCAUGACUACAGUCUGGGAGUGUGAGGUUCAC
Molecule: small nucleolar RNA, 71 nt
Organism: Mesocricetus auratus (golden hamster)
Lineage: Eukaryota; Metazoa; Chordata; Mammalia; Rodentia; Cricetidae
Source: Ensembl